RNAcentral lists this ribosomal RNA (413 nucleotides) under uncultured bacterium. RNAcentral's name for it is "bacterial SSU rRNA". It matches the Rfam family "Bacterial small subunit ribosomal RNA", at positions 30 to 433 of the family's 1533-position model. The record is from RNAcentral.
AUUGAACGCUGGCGGCACGCCUAAUACAUGCAAGUCGAGCGAGAAGACGUAGCAAUACGUUUGUAAAGCGGCGAACGGGUGAGGAAUACAUGGGUAACCUACCCUCGAGUGGGGAAUAACUAGCCGAAAGGUUAGCUAAUACCGCGUACGCUCCUUGGACUUCGGUUCAGGGAGGAAAGCGAUACCGUGGGUAUCGCGCUCUUGGAUGGGCUCAUGUCCUAUCAGCUUGUUGGGAGGUAACGGCUCACCAAGGCUUCGACGGGUAGCUGGUCUGAGAGGACGAUCAGCCACACUGGCACUGCGACACGGGCCAGACUCCUACGGGAGGCAGCAGUAAGGAAUAUUGCGCAAUGGGCGAAAGCCUGACGCAGCGACGCCGCGUGGGGGAUGAAGGUCUUCGGAUUGUAAACCCC